RNAcentral lists this long non-coding RNA (1363 nucleotides) under Nicotiana tabacum (common tobacco). RNAcentral's name for it is "long non-coding RNA (NTAB_LNC019524)". The record is from RNAcentral. Lineage: Eukaryota; Viridiplantae; Streptophyta; Magnoliopsida; Solanales; Solanaceae.
GUGACCUAACCCUAAUCCCCCUAAAGCUAAACCAGCCGCUGCAGACCCCUCCUAGUUCCCGCAUCUCUCUCACUAACACACACACAGUGGCACAAGACGAACUAAGAGAAAAGCAGAGAACGACCGUGACAUCGCCACUCUUUCUUCUUAUUCCCAUCACCAAGCUCACUGGAAACAUCAAACACGGCCACCCUCUUCAUCUCCAAGCCAUAACCGUCGUCGCAACUCCACCAAGGCUCAUCCCUUUCUACCGCCACUUCAAUCCAAACUCACACCAAAAUUUAGUGAAAACCAAAAUUGAAUUCCUUCCUAAUGAUGUUUAGCUGAAGUUUCUAAGUUGGGUUUGAUAUUUUCCAGUCAAAUAAGGGUUCGUUGAGUCUCCGAUUGCAGUCCAGUUCGCCAUUCCAUCGUCGUCCAAGGUUUCUGGUGUCAAACAUUUUAAGAUUCGAAAUUGCUUUGUCUUGAAAGACUAAAUGGUCACACGAGUCCAGUAGAAUUUGUAGCUUUUGACGCAGCAGAGAUCCUAGUGCUUGCUGGAUCUUCCUCAUGUAAUAAAGCUAUGGAAUUUGGAAGAGACAAAAGUAAGUUGAUGUUCCUUUUUACCUCUAUGUUUUGUACUAGCUUUACUCUUAAAACAUUGUAGUGAAUAUACUCUAAAUAUUUAUUUGAUGACUAUGGAUGUUGUAUAAAAAAAACUCUCAUCUCUCAUGAGAUCUCUUACACACAACAGAACGGAUGUUCUCACCUCUUUCAAUUCCAAUAGAACGCCCAAAGCAGCGAUCGCCUUUCUUCAACCUUCAGCAGCCGUAGACCUCCCCCCUUUCCAAAACCCAGCCAACGCCUAACAGACACGAAAAAGCUAAAAAAAAUAAAGACAGACAUAAGAAAAAGAGCUAUCCUAAUAUAGUAACAAAAAGAGAGGGCAUCAGCUGGACAAAAGAACUUUAGCUAAAAGAACGGUGAUGAUAUAAUUUUCGAAGAGAGCCGAAUCGAGUACUCAUCUCUCUUUCUAAUCUAAAAAAACGAAAAAAUAGAGAGAGGGUGAACAGGCAGAAACAAAGUGAGAAAUUCCGAUGACAACAGUCAUCCGCUUGAGUUAUCGCUGAAGAGUCAAGGUCCGUCCGAGGUUCGUUGAUUUCUGGCAAGCUUCGAAGUCGAAGUUCCGUUGGUCCUGGUCAUGUCCCCAUCCGAUUCUGGAGCUACAAAUCAACUAAGCUCAUAUUCAUUUCUGGAGGUUCAUUUCUCACUUUCAUGUAUUUAAUGGGUCAUAACUAAUCUUGUUUUACAUGUGUUUAUAUGGUGAUAUAAUUAUUAUGGUGCAUUUGUGAGUUAAUAUUUAGUUGUUUGAUUCUUUGAAUUUGAU